AGGUGAUCCCAGGGGUGAGAUGCCCAGGAGGGGCUCUGAAGACAGUGAGCCUGGCCCUGGCUCUGUCCACAGACAUGGCCACUUGCCUGGCACACGCUCCCUCAACUGAGCCCUCCUGGCUGGCAAGAUGGGCUUCUUAACCCCAUCUUGUGGGUGAGCGAUGCCCCGUCUCAGACCUACCCGGUCACAUUGUGACAGCCGGCCUUGAGUCAGGGGUCUCCAGAUCUGGCCUGGGUUCUCCAGGGUCUGGGGAGGAGCUUCGUCCCUGCUUAGUCCACUUAGUCUGGAGAGGCUCGGUCCACUCCCUCAGAUGGUCUGGCAGGGGCCGGGCGGCUGUGACCAGUGGUGUGUGGACUCCUGGGCCAAAGAGGACACUGUGGUCCCCGUGGCUGGGGGAGCCAGAGCUGUGGACGGCAGAGGCACCUCUUUCGUGGGCACCCUGGUCAUUGGAUGACUCGGCCCUGGCCAGCCGGAUGCAGGUUUCACCUGGAGAUGCUGAGGAUUUGAGCCAGGCAGGUGAAAGCAGCAGGUCCAGGUGGGCUCCCUGGGCCCAGGAGUCCCGGCCAGCCCUCUGCCAAGGGGCACCAUGGUGGGGGGACACCAGAGGUGGGCUGGGCCCCACAGAGCUGUUGGGACACAACGGAGGGGGGCUCCAGGAAGUGGGGGGACCCUGCAGAUGGUGAAGCGGAUGCCGGCCUGAACUCACCCUUCCUCAGCCCCCAUCCCCACCCCAGCCUGGGGUUGAGGAGAGGACACUGGGCUUGAGUGGCCUGACCUUGCUGCGUGACCUUGGGAGAGGCUCCCAGCCUUCCUGGACCAAGCAGGACUAAGGGUGGGGGUCUGGCUGCCUGCCCUGGCCGUGUUUCCUCCUGGGCCCUGAGCUCCAUGGGCCAUGUGGCUGGCAGGCAGGCUUGCUUCAGAUCCUACCUCUGACCUGCAUCCUGGGGAGUGGCUUAUGCUCUCUGGAGCCUGAGGUUUCUCAUCUGCAGAUUGGGUUAAAAAGGCCCACAACACCAGGCCUUGGUGGUGAGCUGACAUGAUCACAGCAAAGCUCUGCACACCUCGUGGGUGACACAGGGCGCUCCUCUGCCUCUGCCUCUGGGAUCCUGAGCUAUUAGCUGAAAUAACAAGGUGGCCGCCCACAAGGAUGGGCUGAGCGCCCACAAUAAUUAACCGGGCGCCCACGAGGAAGCUCCCCGGCCCACGCUUGCUCGCAGCCCUCCUGCUGAGGCUUCACCCGCCUGCUGAGCCUCCGCGUGAAUGCGUCUCUCCAGCUGCAGGGGACCCCCCGGCGCCCAGAUCCCAUCGCCCGCCAGGAGCCCGCUUUUCCAGGGAGAGGCUGCUGUGCCUUUAAGAGGAAGCCCGUUAAGUUAAAGAUACAACUUGUCCCUGGCUUCCUUGGUGGCUCAGAUGGUGAAGAAUCCACCUGCAAUGCAGGAGACCUGGGUUUAAUCCCUGGGUUGGGAAGAUCCCUUGGAGGAAGGAAAUGGCAACCCACUCCAGUCUUCUUGCCUGGAGAAGUCCAUGGACAGAGGAGCCUGGCGGACUAUAGUCCACGGAGUCACAAAGAGUCGGGCACAACAGAGCGACUAACACACAUUUGGGUCUGGACAUAUUUUUAAUAUAGUUUUUUUUAAUGGAUGAAUUGUAUUUAUUUUUAAUGUGUAUUUAUUUAUUUAUUCUUUGGCUAUGCCACAGCAUGUGGGAUCUUAGUUCCUUGGCCAGGAAUCGAACGCAUGUCCUGUGCGGUGGGAGUGUGGCA
This is a long non-coding RNA of Bos taurus (domestic cattle), 1762 nucleotides long. NCBI's taxonomy places the organism in Eukaryota, Metazoa, Chordata, Mammalia, Artiodactyla, Bovidae. The record is from Ensembl.